AGUAGAAAUUGAAAUAUCUGGUUUUUUCCCUUAAUUCUCUAUAGCCCUCUGAGAUAGCCUAUUAUAGCCCUUUCUCCCAUCAACAAAUUCUUUCUACGUCAGUUUCUUUCCUAUGUCAGUUUGCUCUUGUCUUGUGUUUAGGCAUAAGAAGAAGUUACCAGUUUCUAGCAACCUCCCCAAACACACAGGAUCUGCAAGUUGGCUAGUUACAAUGGGAGAUCUUCAAAAAAUUCUUGAUAGAGGAGAAUAUCUUCCCUUGAGAUCAGUUCCAGUAUUUGAGAGCAACUUUAUUCAGGUCAAUAGAAGAAGUGAAGCAGUUUACCUUCAUAAUCGGCCCAACUAUGUGGUAAUGGGUGUCUGUGCCUCCAGCCCAAAUCUGUCAUUGCCAAAUGUGAUGCUGCUCGCACAUGCAGUUCCUGUAACCUCCCAGGAAAGCAUUUCAACGUGCUCAUCGUGUUCACUGCCUUCAUAUUCAGAGGAUGAGCUAGUACUCACCAGGUUCCUACCCUUGAAAUAUGUGAAGAUUUCUGUUCACUCUGUUAAGAGGAAACGCAUCAAAUUAAAACUGGUGAGCGGUCGUGCCUACUACUUAGAACUCUAUGGUGUACCACAGAAACAGGCGUUCCUUUUCUCUCAAUGGGUGCGACUGAUCAACCUACUGAAAACUAAGACUUCUGACUCCGCUGUUCCAUUUAGAAAUUUUGACAUGCUCGAAGAACAGAAAGCUACUGGCGACACACUGUGGAAAAGAAAUGAUCAAGUACAGCCUAUCUGGGACCAAGAGAAGAGGCAUGAGCCAGAGAAAGUACAAAUCCUAAAACAAGUAUCUUCCAAGCGAGUCACCAUUUCUGACAUCAAGGGUCCUACUGAACAAGUCGGAAAGAGCAGAAGCCAAGGGGCAGUUUCUUCCUACAGCUUCAUUACGGAAUCCAGUGUGAGCUCAAAGAAACAAAACAAGCAGCCCCAAGAAUUAAGGAGGAAGAGUGUCAUCAAGAAAAAAUCAUGGGAACAAGAACCUUUUUCUCAUUCAGAAAAAAGAUUACAGACUUCAGGAAUCCUCAAGAAUGUCAAGUAAGCCUGAUGUCAUUUAUGACAAGCAACAAUGAAAAUAUAUACUCAGAUAAACUAAUGAAAAGAAACUGAAGAUACCAAGUGAAAUGAGAAAAUAGAUGGAUAGAAAUAUAGAGCCUGAAGAGCUGUUCAGUUCCAAUAUUACAACAUUAAACAUAAUUGAAACCAUGAUUAUAAAUAUGACUUGUUCUGAAAGUGGAAGAAAACAUCUGAAAGGAUUUGUCUAGUAAUGCUUAUUAUUGCCAAGGAUAUAAGAAAUCAUUUGUCUUCAGCAGACUUUCUUUAAAUACUGGUGCCUCAAUAAUUUUCUCUUUUGUACAUUACUACUAAUUUAUAAUUACAGACAGAAGUGGUGUGCAGUGCAUUUGCCCGUCUUUUUAUGGGUCAUUUCAGUUCAACUACCAGGAUGGAUGUUGACAGGAUAUUGGGAUCUGUAAAGGCUACCACAUUUUCUAUGGACCCCUGUCCAUUCUGGUUAGUGAAAUCAUGGUAGGAUCUCAGUAAUGAGUUUCUAAUGUCCUUCAUAAAAAAACAAACACUGAGUCAGUCUCUUGCAGAGGAGGUUAUCUGAACAUUACUUUAAAACCCAUUGCUAGAAAAGAAUGAUGUGGCCAGUGAUUAUCUGGUCUUCAGUAUGCACUUUCUGGGUAAGAUUAUUGAGAGCAAUUGCUGAAUGACUCCAGUUCCACCUGGAUGACUCCUCUGGUCUGAACCCUUUUCAGUCUGGUUUCAGGUCAGGCUAUAGGAUGAAGAGACAUUAGUAGCUUUAGUUGAUAAUCUUCAUUUGAAUGCAGACAAGGCCUAUGCCUUUUUGUUGCUCUUACAGGAUUUAUCAGCAGGCUUUUGAUACUGUGGAUUAUCCAUAUCAUCUUGUUGAUAAGUCUGGAGGUAGACUGGCCUUUUCUGUCAACUGUCGGGACCUGCACAGCUUCCUAUGUUCUGGGGACCCGGAUUUAUUUUAAAUUGUAAACCUUCCUCUCAGUUUACCAGAUGUUCUUAAGGCAGUGAGAAUCAAGACUUCGGGCUCACUGCCAUGAGAGGUAGAACUAAACCACACUGCUAACGUGCCCCUCAAACCAUCUCCUCUUUUGUUGAAGGAGACUAAAAACAAUCAUUGCCCUCUCCAACAAGCAGAUCUGCACUCUCUCUUCCUGCUACGUUUCCCUCCAGCAUUCCAUCUGCUCUCUGAAAGAUGAUUGGAUGAUGGAGCAGCACUCCCAUAGGCUCAGUUAGAUUAAAAGGCUUUUUAAUAGAUAUUAUGAUUAUGUUAUCUCACCUGGGUUUCGGGUUUUGCUGGUUUUAUCAUUUACAUUUUGUAUUUUAUUUUUCCCUGCUUUUUUCUUGUGGCUUUAUGGGUUUUAUUAGUGAUGGUACGUCUUACUGUAUUUGACAUUAUCUGGUUUUCAUUCUUUUUAAUAGUAAGUCACUCAGAGAGCCUUCUAAGCGCAGAAUUACACAAUAUACGUGUUCUUUAAAAUAAUUAAUAAUAAAUUAUGACUUUUGUUAUUCCUGGCAUUAAGAUAAAAUUGGCAAAAGUGAAUUAUGAAUCUCUGGAGUC
Sphaerodactylus townsendi is the source of this 2629-nucleotide RNA transcript. It is a transcript of the gene named golgi associated RAB2 interactor family member 2, with no coding region annotated. The record is from RefSeq and is a predicted model, not a curated record. The transcript has 7 exons. Lineage: Eukaryota; Metazoa; Chordata; Lepidosauria; Squamata; Sphaerodactylidae.